Molecule: ribosomal RNA, 253 nt
Filed under: uncultured bacterium
Lineage: Bacteria
Description: partial 16S ribosomal RNA
Rfam family: Bacterial small subunit ribosomal RNA
Source: RNAcentral
UACGUAGGUGGCAAGCGUUGUCCGGAUUUAUUGGGUUUAAAGGGUGCGUAGGCGGUCUUCUAAGUCAGUUGUGAAAUACUUCAGCUUAACUGGAGAGGUGCAAUUGAUACUGGAAGACUUGAGUACUGAUGAGGUAGGCGGAAUGGACGGUGUAGCGGUGAAAUGCUUAGAUAUCGUCCAGAACACCGAUAGCGAAGGCAGCUUACUAAGGAGUAACUGACGCUGAGGCACGAAGGUGUGGGGAUCAAACAGG